AGAGUUUGAUCAUGGCUCAGGAUGAACGCUAGCUACAGGCUUAACACAUGCAAGUCGAGGGGCAGCAUAAUCGAAGCUUGCUUUGAUUGAUGGCGACCGGCGCACGGGUGAGUAACGCGUAUCCAACCUUCCCCUUAGUAGGGCAUAGCCCGGCGAAAGUCGGAUUAAUACCCUAUGUUAUCCGUCGAGGGCAUCUGAAAUGGAUUAAAGAUUUAUCGCUAAGGGAUGGGGAUGCGUCUGAUUAGGUUGUUGGCGGGUAACGGCCCACCAAGCCUACGAUCAGUAGGGGUUCUGAGAGGAAGGUCCCCCACAUUGGUACUGAGACACGGACCAAACUCCUACGGGAGGCAGCAGUGAGGAAUAUUGGUCAAUGGGCGAGAGCCUGAACCAGCCGAGUAGCGUGCCAGGAUGACGGCCCUAUGGGUUGUAAACUGCUUUUGCAUGGGAAUAAAGUCGGGGACGUGUCCCCGUUUGUAUGUACCAUGAGAAUAAGGACCGGCUAAUUCCGUGCCAGCAGCUGC
RNAcentral lists this ribosomal RNA (521 nucleotides) under uncultured bacterium. RNAcentral describes it as "bacterial SSU rRNA". It matches the Rfam family "Bacterial small subunit ribosomal RNA", at positions 8 to 518 of the family's 1533-position model. The record is from RNAcentral.